RNAcentral lists this ribosomal RNA (253 nucleotides) under uncultured bacterium. RNAcentral's name for it is "partial 16S ribosomal RNA". It matches the Rfam family "Bacterial small subunit ribosomal RNA", at positions 524 to 776 of the family's 1533-position model. The record is from RNAcentral.
UACGUAGGGUGCGAGCGUUAAUCGGAAUUACUGGGCGUAAAGGGUGUGUAGGCGGUUUUGGUAGUCGUGCGUUAAAGCUCUGGGCUUAACACAGGAAAUGCGCACGAAACGGCAAACCUAGAGGAUGCGAGAGGUGAACAGAACUCAUGGUGUAGGGGUGAAAUCCGUUGAUAUCAUGGGGAAUACCAAAUGCGAAGGCAGUUCACUGGCGCACUCCUGACGCUGAAACACGAAAGCGUGGGUAGCGAAUGGG